Molecule: ribosomal RNA, 445 nt
Filed under: uncultured bacterium
Lineage: Bacteria
Description: partial 16S ribosomal RNA
Rfam family: Bacterial small subunit ribosomal RNA
Source: RNAcentral
GUGAGGAAUAUUGGUCAAUGGGCGAGAGCCUGAACCAGCCAAGUCGCGUGAAGGAAGAAGGAUCUAUGGUUCGUAAACUUCUUUUGCAGGGGAAUAAAGUGCGGGACGUGUCCUGUUUUGUAUGUACCCUGAGAAUAAGGAUCGGCUAACUCCGUGCCAGCAGCCGCGGUAAUACGGAGGAUCCGAGCGUUAUCCGGAUGUAUUGGGUUUAAAGGGUGCGUAGGUGGUUUGAUAAGUCAGCGGUGAAAGUUUGCAGCUUAACUGUAAAAAUGCCGUUGAAACUGUCGGACUUGAGUGUAAAUGAGGUAGGCGGAAUGCGUGGUGUAGCGGUGAAAUGCAUAGAUAUCACGCAGAACUCCGAUUGCGAAGGCAGCUUACUAAGCUACAACUGACACUGAAGCACGAAAGCGUGGGGAUCAAACAGGAUUAGAAACCCGAGUAGUCC